AGGCCCGUCUUAGAGGGGAUCCCUGGGGGAAAGAGACGAGCAUAGGUUCCUCCCAAGAUGCCACCCGCUUCAUUCAAGUGUCUGGCAGCACUGUGUUCCUGUUAGAGCCACCAGCACAAGCACCAGACGAUGCUGAUCCAGGUGAAGGCCCCAGUGCAGCAGCAACAGCACAUGAUGGCGACGAUGAUGAGGAGGAGACCAUCUCUCUGGAUUCCAGAAGGCAUGAGGACCCAGAUGCUAUACAGUGGGAAAACCAGCCUGGCAACAUAGUGCGUAUUAAUAAAAGGACACCACAUCCUGCCAAAUUCCAGCUGCGCUAAUUGUAUUGUGUUCACAGAGCUCACAAGCUAUCAGAAAGUUGUAUGGCAACCACCUCCGGCGCCAAAUAGAACUGGCAGACAUAGACAUUCAGUACAAGAAGAAAAAGAUGGAAAAUCUUGCACUGGAGUCCGAAAUAAAAAAGAGGACAAUUAGGAAACUGGACCUUGAAAAAAAAAAACUUGAGAGGGAGCUCCAAGAAGAUGACACAGCUCAAAAUAAAAAUUAGCAAUCACUACAACCAAGUCAUCGUUAUAAGGCAUCGCCCUCUUUUGCCCACCCCCCCAGCACCAGGUGUGGCCACUAGCCUAUAUGAAGGCCCAAAAUUGUGUGUUCCUUUCUGCUCUGACAAUGGCAUGCCCAUUCGUGCGAGAUGUUGUGGAUGAAGAAGCACUUGUGCUGAGGAGAGCCUUCAGGCGAGAAAGGGUCUUCAGGGACCGGUUGGACCCACUGGCCUUCCCUGAUGACCAUCUAUAUGAAAGAUACAGGUUUUCUGCAGAUGGCAUCAGGUAUCUAUGCAGACUACUGGGUCCCAGGAUUAAGCACCGCACUGCACGGAGCCAUGCACUGAGUGUGGAGCAAAUGGUUUGUGUGGCCUUGCGCUUUUUGCUAGUGGAGCCUUCCUGUACUCAGUGGGGGAUGCAGAACAGCUGAACAAGGCCACAAUUUGCCGCACAAUAAGGAGUGUGUGUCUGGCUAUCAAAGCAUUAGCAGAUGUCUUCAUCUCCUUCCCUGGCCACAGAAGACUCUGUGACAUCAAAGAGGAGUUCUAUAGGAUUGCAGAUGGUCUGCAAUGCUGACUGUGUGAUCAGCAAUGUUGUGGCAAAGUCCAUGACUCCAGAAUCUUUCGGGCCUCUGAAAUCUAUCACAAGGUGAAUUCUCUGGUGUGUUGCUGGGAGACAGGGGGUAUGGCUGCCAGCCUUUUCUCCUGACACCUUUCACAGACCCCCAGGAAGCACAGCAGGCCUACAACCAUGCCCAUGCCAGGACCAGGGCCAGAGUUGAAAUGACCUUUGGCCUCCUGAAGGCACGCUUUCACUGCCUUCACAAAUUAAGGGUCAGCCCUGUUAGGACAUGUGAUAUUACUGUGGCUUGUGCUGUCCUCCACAAUGUGGCCUGCCUGAGGAAGGAGAGGGCCCCCAGAGUGCCACCAGCCAUGGACUGGGACAAUCCGGCAAUCUUCCCUGAUGACGACAGUGGUCGGCUGCUGAGGGACCAAUAUGUGUUGAAUUAUUUUAGUUAGUAUGUGUGCUUUCAAUUUUGGUUAAAUAUGUCCUGCGGUGGCAGAGGAAUUUGGGUUUUUUUGGGUUCGUUUUUUGACGAAUUUGGCCUCUUAUGAUGUUUGUGCGGUAUACUGUGUGUAAUACAAGGCUGCAGGGAGGCUACUGCAUCCAUUCAUUUGUCUGUUCAGUUGAUGUGUAUGGAUUUGUCCUGCAUUUAUUUUAGUGUGCAGACAUGCAGGGUGUGUUAUAUACAGACCUUUGAAUGUGUAUGUAUCAUUUUGUAUAAUAUGCUUGGAUUCUGUGCUUUCCAUCUUGUAGAGUCACUGUGACUUCAGUUUCGAAAGGAGCUGAUGGUUUACCUGCUUUGUUUUGUCCUUAUUCAAUAAAGGAACAUAAUGUUACACAUUGUGUU
Molecule: long non-coding RNA, 1953 nt
Organism: Oncorhynchus masou masou (cherry salmon)
Lineage: Eukaryota; Metazoa; Chordata; Actinopteri; Salmoniformes; Salmonidae
Exons: 8
Source: RefSeq, a predicted model, not a curated record